Molecule: ribosomal RNA, 253 nt
Filed under: uncultured bacterium
Lineage: Bacteria
Description: partial 16S ribosomal RNA
Rfam family: Bacterial small subunit ribosomal RNA
Source: RNAcentral
UACAGAGGUCCCAAGCGUUGUUCGGAUUCACUGGGCGUAAAGGGUGCGUAGGCGGUCGGGUAAGUCUGAUGUGAAAUCUUCGAGCUCAACUCGGAAACUGCAUUGGAUACUAUCCGGCUUGAGGACUGGAGGGGGGACUGGAAUUCUCGGUGUAGCAGUGAAAUGCGUAGAUAUCGAGAGGAACACCAGUGGCGAAGGCGAGUCCCUGGACAGGUCCUGACGCUGAGGCACGAAAGCUAGGGGAGCAAACAGG